GGCUACGACAAGCCCGAUGGUUCCCGACGCCGACAAGGCGCCGGGAUUAAAAGGGAACGCGGUAGAACGACCCAAAUCGGGGUUCGAAGCCGUGGCUGCCCCCGCAACUGUGUGCGGCGAGCCGACUGUCCAUGUGACGCGCCACUGGGGAUACCUCCCCGGGAAGGCCGGACGGAAGGCAAGGACCCGCAAGCCAGGAGACCUGCCAUCGUGACUGCUUGAAC
RNAcentral lists this non-coding RNA (224 nucleotides) under Fulvimarina manganoxydans. The record is from RNAcentral. Lineage: Bacteria; Pseudomonadati; Pseudomonadota; Alphaproteobacteria; Hyphomicrobiales; Aurantimonadaceae.